ACGGAGGGUGCAAACGUUGCUCGGAAUCAUUGGGCGUAAAGCGCACGUAGGCGGUCUGCUAUGUCGGGUGUGAAAUCCCUCGGCUUAACCGAGGAAGUGCAUUCGAAACUGGCAGACUUGAAUACUCAAGAGGGUCUCGGAAUUCCCGGUGUAGAGGUGAAAUUCGUAGAUAUCGGGAGGAACACCAGUGGCGAAGGCGGAGACCUGGGGAGAUAUUGACGCUGAGGUGCGAAAGCGUGGGGGGCAAACAGGA
Molecule: ribosomal RNA, 253 nt
Filed under: uncultured prokaryote
Description: partial 16S ribosomal RNA
Rfam family: Bacterial small subunit ribosomal RNA
Source: RNAcentral